Molecule: ribosomal RNA, 460 nt
Filed under: uncultured bacterium
Lineage: Bacteria
Description: partial 16S ribosomal RNA
Rfam family: Bacterial small subunit ribosomal RNA
Source: RNAcentral
GAUGAACGCUGGCGGCAUGCUUAAUACAUGCAAGUCGAGCGGGAAGUGGUGUUUCUUGUUCCGAACGGGUGAGUAACGCGCAAGAACGUGCCCUUGGGAUGGGAACAACAACUGGAAACGGUUGCUAAUAGCCCGUAGGCUGAGGAGCAAAUGGUGUAAUCCGCCCAAGGAGGGGCUGGUGUCGGAUUAUUUAGUUGGUACGGUGAUAGCUUACCAAGGCGAUGAUCAGUAGUUGAACUGUGAGGGUGAUCAGCCACACAGGAACUGAGACGCGGUCCAGAGUCCGACGGGAGGCAGGAGGAGGGGAAGUUCGGGAAGGGGCUAAAGCUUGAGGGAGCAACGGGGAGUGAGUGAGAAACGUCUUCGGAACGUAAAACUAGGGUAUGAGGGGGGAACAGAUGCGGAGGCAACUGGGGAAGUAAGGACGGUAGAGGGUAAGAAAGAGACGGAGAACCACGUG